GACGAACGCUGGCGGCGUGCUUAACACAUGCCAGUCGAACGCUGAAGCUUGGUGCUUGCACUGGGUGGAUGAGUGGCGAACGGGUGAGUAAUACGUGAGUAACCUGCCCUUGACUCUGGGAUAAGUCUGGGAAACUGGGUCUAAUACUGGAUACGACAUGUCACCGCAUGGUGGUGUGUGGAAAGGGUUUUACUGGUUUUGGAUGGGCUCACGGCCUAUCAGCUUGUUGGUGGGGUAAUGGCUCACCAAGGCGACGACGGGUAGCCGGCCUGAGAGGGUGACCGGCCACACUGGGACUGAGACACGGCCCAGACUCCUACGGGAGGCAGCAGUGGGGAAUAUUGCACAAUGGGCGGAAGCCUGAUGCAGCGACGCCGCGUGAGGGAUGACGGCCUUCGGGUUGUAAACCUCUUUCAGCACGGAGGAAGCGAAAGUGACGGUACGUGCAGAAGAAGCGCCGGCUAACUACGUG
RNAcentral lists this ribosomal RNA (472 nucleotides) under uncultured bacterium. RNAcentral's name for it is "partial 16S ribosomal RNA". It matches the Rfam family "Bacterial small subunit ribosomal RNA", at positions 28 to 507 of the family's 1533-position model. The record is from RNAcentral.